AGCAGACUGGGCAGCCGCACGCUUUAUGCGUGAGGAAAGUCCGGGCCCCAUAGAGCAGGAUAACGGCUAACGGCCGCCGAGGGCGACCUCAGGGAAAGUGCAACAGAGAUAUACCGCCGGCCUUUGCCGGUAAGGGUGGAAAGGCGAGGUAAGAGCUCACCAGCGUGCGGGGAACCGCACGGCUCUGCAAACCCUAUCCGGAGCAACACCGACUGGAGAGACACGCUUGCUCGGCGCAUUCUCCGACAGGUGGCUUGAGCGCUGUGGCAACGCGGCGCCUAGAUAGAUGGCUGCCUUUAAUGACAGAACUCGGCUUACAGGUCUGGUCG
RNAcentral lists this RNase P RNA (329 nucleotides) under human gut metagenome. RNAcentral's name for it is "Bacterial RNase P class A". It matches the Rfam family "Bacterial RNase P class A". Rfam says of the family: Ribonuclease P (RNase P) is a ubiquitous endoribonuclease, found in archaea, bacteria and eukarya as well as chloroplasts and mitochondria. Its best characterised activity is the generation of mature 5'-ends of tRNAs by cleaving the 5'-leader elements of precursor-tRNAs. Cellular RNase Ps are ribonucleoproteins. The record is from RNAcentral.